AUUAGCCUUUGGGGCAAGGUGAGAGGGAGUAGAUAUCCUUCAAUUCCUUACCGGCGGUAAAGCCCGCGAGCCGUAUGGUUGAUCUGGUGUGAUUCCGGAGCCGACAGUAUAGUCUGGAAGGGAAAAGGCUUGU
RNAcentral lists this non-coding RNA (133 nucleotides) under Propionispora sp. 2/2-37. Its description in RNAcentral is "FMN riboswitch aptamer (RFN element)". It matches the Rfam family "FMN riboswitch aptamer (RFN element)". Rfam says of the family: The RFN element is a highly conserved domain that is found frequently in the 5'-untranslated regions of prokaryotic mRNAs that encode for flavin mononucleotide (FMN) biosynthesis and transport proteins. The record is from Rfam by way of RNAcentral. RNAcentral also lists the same sequence under 1 other name. Lineage: Bacteria; Bacillati; Bacillota; Negativicutes; Selenomonadales; Sporomusaceae.